Molecule: long non-coding RNA, 254 nt
Filed under: Pectinophora gossypiella (pink bollworm)
Lineage: Eukaryota; Metazoa; Arthropoda; Insecta; Lepidoptera; Gelechiidae
Description: uncharacterized LOC126374107
Source: RNAcentral
AAUUACAUUUCGAUGUAUCUUGCUUUCUAUCGAGCAGGAUACCAAACAAUAAUAUUACAUAGAGAUGCAGUACCAACAAUAUUCACUCACAUAUCUCACAUAAGGUAAAGUUAUAACGACCAGAGCCGACACUAUACACUUCUAAAGAAAGUGAACAAGAGGAAAUAUUUUUUUUUUAUCACCAAAAGUCGGAAUUGUUCAGUGCUUCGUAGUCAUUGUAUUCUAACUAUAUUGAAUAAAAAUCUUAUAAAGAA